This 253-nucleotide ribosomal RNA is filed under the name uncultured bacterium. RNAcentral describes it as "partial 16S ribosomal RNA". It matches the Rfam family "Bacterial small subunit ribosomal RNA", at positions 524 to 776 of the family's 1533-position model. The record is from RNAcentral.
UACGUAGGGGGCAAGCGUUAUCCGGAUUUACUGGGUGUAAAGGGAGCGUAGACGGCUAAAUAAGUCAGAUGUGAAAGCCCAGGGCUCAACCCUGGGAUUGCAUUUGAAACUAUGUAGCUAGAGUGCAGGAGAGGUAAGUGGAAUUCCUAGUGUAGCGGUGAAAUGCGUAGAUAUUAGGAGGAACACCAGUGGCGAAGGCGGCUUACUGGACUGUAACUGACGUUGAGGCUCGAAAGCGUGGGGAGCAAACAGG